CCCUUAGAUGUUCUGGGCCGCACGCGCGCUACACUGACGAUGGCAACGAGUUUUUCCUUCGCCGAAAGGUGUGGGUAAUCUUUUGAAACAUCGUCGUGCUGGGGAUAGAUCAUUGCAAUUUUUGAUCUUGAACGAGGAAUUCCUAGUAAGCGCGAGUCAUCAGCUCGCGUUGAAUACGUCCCUGCCCUUUGUACACACCGCCCGUCGCUCCUACCGAUUGAGUGGUCCGGUGAGGCUUUGGGAUCUGAGCGGAAAGAGCGUUUCGCUGUUUCUGCCCGGAAAACUCAGUCGAACCUUAUCAUUUAGAGGAAGGAGAAGUCGUAACA
Molecule: ribosomal RNA, 326 nt
Filed under: uncultured eukaryote
Lineage: Eukaryota
Description: partial 18S ribosomal RNA
Rfam family: Eukaryotic small subunit ribosomal RNA
Source: RNAcentral